UUUUCUUACAAUAGUUGAUGAUUUCUCUAGGGCAACCUGGACACACUUAAUGGGCUCUAAAAGCAAUGCCUUCUCCUUGCUUAAAUCUUUCAUCUGUUUGGUUAAAACUCAGUUUAAUACUGUGGUUCAAACUGUUAGAAGUGACAAUGCUUUAGAAUUGGGGCCUAGCAUUGAGGGUAUAUCUUUAUUUAUUAGCCAGGGGAUUAUUCAUCAAACCUCCUGCCCUCAUUCACCUCAAUAGAAUGGUGUUGUUGAAAGAAAGCACAUAACCCUUCUUAAAACAUGUAGAGCCCUGCUUUUUCAAUCUGGACUACCUGUGUCUUUCUGGGACACAGAACACUUUUUGAAACAUGUAGAGCCCAGCUUUUACAAUCUGGCCUACCUGUGUCUUUCUGGGGGAAUUGCCUGUUGACUGUCACCUAUCUUCUUAACAAAAUACCUUCCAGAAUCCUUCACCAUAAGUCUCCUCAUGAAAUUUUGUAUGGAGAAGCUCCAUCCUAUUAUCAUUUGAGGGCAUUUGGAUGCCUUGCUUAUGUUGCUGUCCCUAUUCCUCAAAGGGAUAAGCUGAAACCUAGAGCCCACUCUUGUGUGUUUCUGGGUUACCCCUUUUCCAAGAAGGGUUAUAAACUGUAUAAUUUGGUUUCCAAGAAGUGUUUUGUCUCAAGGGAUGUUAUCUUCCAUGAAACUUAUUUCCCUUUUAAGAAUAAACCUACUUCUGCUCACCCUUUUUCUUCAUCUUUUCCUUUUAAUCCUCCUGCUGAUGAUUUCAGUGACACUGACUUUCCUAUACAUGCUUCCCCUGAUUCUCCUGUUCCUCAUUCUACUUCUGCUUCUCCUGUACCUGAUUUUCCUGAUGCUGUGGUCCAUCUUCCCUUCCUGCUGAUCAUUUCACUGACACAGACUUUCCUAUACAUGCUUCCCCUGAUUCUCCUAUUCCUAAUUCUACUUCUGAUUCUCCUGUACCUGAUUUUCCUGAUGCUGGUCCAUCUUCCCUUCCUUCUUUCAAUCAUGAUCUCCCUCCUCUUGUGUUACCUCCUUCACAUCCUCUUCCCACUCCUAGAAAGUCCACUAGAUAGCAUAAUCCUCCUUUCUAUCUUAAGGAUUAUGUCUGUCAACUGCCUGCCUUUUCUGGUUCCUCUUCUUCCACUUUGGAAUCUAAACCUAUGUAUUACUCUCAAGCUGCAUCUGUCCCAGCGUGGCAGGAUGCAAUGAGACAGGAGUUUGAUGCUUUGGAAGCUAACCAUACUUGGGAUAUUGUU
This 1259-nucleotide long non-coding RNA is filed under the name Nicotiana benthamiana. RNAcentral describes it as "long non-coding RNA (NBEN_LNC018232)". The record is from RNAcentral. Lineage: Eukaryota; Viridiplantae; Streptophyta; Magnoliopsida; Solanales; Solanaceae.